GUGAUUGGAUAUCGCCCAAGGAGGUUUGGCAUUCCAUGAACGAUAAAGAGCUCCUAUGGCGUGCCUCAAUGGUGCCACACAUUGAUGAAUACCCCUACAAUCGUACACCAAAGGUUGCCUUCCUGUUCCUGACCAGGGGAAGAUUGCCUUUGGCACAACUAUGGGAGAAGUUCUUCAAGGGACAUGAAGGCCUCUACUCAAUCUACGUCCAUACUUCACCAGAAUUCACUGAAGUACCGCCAGAAUCAUCGGUCUUCUACAAUCGCAGGAUACCGAGCAAGCCAGUUGAGUGGGGGAGAGCAACGAUGGUGGAUGCUGAGAGACGUUUGCUAGCCAAUGCUCUACUUGACUUCUCCAAUGAAAGAUUCGUACUACUCUCUGAAACAUGCAUUCCUAUCCUCAAUUUCACAACAAUCUACAAAUACCUCAUCAACUCUAAGCAAAGCUUCAUAGGGUCAUUUGAUGAUCCAAGACACAACGGCCGCGGCCGCUACAACAAGCUGCUGUGGCCAACCGUGAAUUUGUCCGAUUGGCGGAAAGGUUCCCAGUGGUUUGAACUUGACCGGAAGCUCGCCGGGAAGAUGGUCUCCGAUGUGAAAUACUAUCCUGUUUUUAGGGAGCAUUGCAAGCCUCCUUGUUACAUGGAUGAGCAUUACUUGCCAACUCUUGUGACCA
RNAcentral lists this unclassified non-coding RNA (675 nucleotides) under Hevea brasiliensis (rubber tree). Lineage: Eukaryota; Viridiplantae; Streptophyta; Magnoliopsida; Malpighiales; Euphorbiaceae. The record is from RNAcentral.